Long non-coding RNA from Hippopotamus amphibius kiboko, 2463 nucleotides. RefSeq lists it as uncharacterized. The transcript has 4 exons. Lineage: Eukaryota; Metazoa; Chordata; Mammalia; Artiodactyla; Hippopotamidae. The record is from RefSeq and is a predicted model, not a curated record.
AAAAAAAAAAAUUUUUUUUUUUAACCAGAAACGCAUGUAGUAGGGAAAGGAGCAUUUCCAAAGGCUUCAAAACAAGGUGGUGCAAGUCUCAAACUUUUCCUUUCUCUUAGAGCGCAUCUCUCUACAUUUAAAGGUCUGCGACGACACGACACCCCAAACUCGGGGAAAUCAGAGAAGGGGCCAAAGAGCCACAAGGUGCGGCGGGCCGCCCGAGAGUCCACGCGCCCCUCAGACUGCAGCGGGUGCGUGUGCGGUCCGGUUCUCCGCUCCCUCCCCCAGCACCCCACCCCACGCUCGGGGUGCGCGGGGGCCGCUACCGAUCCCAGCUCCCUCCUGGAUGCGGGGGUGGGCUGGGAACGGCCAUCCUGCUUCCCUCCCACACCCCGAUUCCUCACCAGUGGCAAAGGGAGGGCGUGAGGCCCCCGAGGCGGGAGGGCCAGCUCCGGAGGGAGGCCCCGCUCGCCGCCCGGCAUACCUGGCUCUCAGCUGCGGGGAUGCCGGACUCGAGCUCACACAGCGCGCGGAAGUUGUGCAGCUCGAAGUCGGCGUCGACCUGGAGGGAAAAGGUCACCUCGGAGAGGUCCCUCCGCACACAGUACACGGAUAGGAAGCCUGGAGGUAGACAGCAACGUUGGUUCAGUGACUCAAUGAUACAAGGGCCAGUAUUUCCGCAAAUCUUUGGCCUCUCCCUGAGGGUCACGAUAUGGCCGGUUGCCUCCACUCCAUGCACCAUUUUCUUGUUCAAGCAAGAGCUUGCCCAGGAGUCCCCCAGCAGUUUUCUGCUUACAUCCGGCCAGAACUGUGUCACACAGAUGCAAGAAAAAGGCCAGGAAAGAUGGGACAGAUUUUAUUUUCCAAAGAUGGCCAUGGCAAUAUCUUCCAUCUUAUAUGUUCAUCCUACAAUGUAAUCAUGACAUUCCUCCCAUGAAGAGAUGGGGAAUAUGAAUUAGAAUUAUGGCAGACGGACUUUGGCAUAAGUGCCACUGUGUGACUUCUGAGGGUAGGUCAUAAAAUGCAAUGUAACUUCUGCCUGAUUCUUUUGGAACACUUGCUCUUGAAACCCAGUAGCCAUGCUGUGCGGAAGCCCAAACUACCCCAGGCAGUGAGACUACGUGGAGAUAACAUAUAUAGAUGGUCCAAGCAACAGCCUAGCAGAGAUCAAAGCCAAUUACCAGGAAAACCCUCCUAGAACAUGAAUGAAGACACUUCCAGUUGAUUUCAGCCCCAGCUGUUGAGUCAUCUCCAGCCUUUGAGUCUUCCCAACUGAGGCCCCAGACAUCAUGGAGCUGCCUCCACUGUAUUCUUUUUGAAUUCCUGACCCACAGAUUCUAUGAGCAUAAAAAAAUGGUUAUUUUAUGUGACUAAGUUUGGGGUGGUUUGUUACAAAGAACAAUAAUUGGUAUACUGAAUAUAGGCACAGCCAAUAAACUCCUAAAAAAAGAGAAUUUUAUUGCAAUAUAAUACACAAAAAGUGCAUAUAUUUUAAGUGUAGAGAGUGAGUUUUCACAAACUGAACAUCCCUGUUCAGAACAUUAUCGGUACUUCAAAAGCCCCCGAAUCGUUCCUGCUAUAAUUAUUAGUAAUCUUUUUUUAAAAAAAAUAUUUAUUUGGCUGCGCCGGGUCUUAGUUGCUGCAUAGGAGAUCUUUAGUUGCAUCUUGGGCAUGGAAUCUUAACCAUUGGACCACCAGGGAAGUCCCAUAUCCUCCCUUCUAAUCACUAACUCUCCCUCCUCACCCCCUCCAAGUGUAACUAAUAUCCUGACAUUUAACAGCAUUGAUUCAUUUUGCUUGUUUUUCUACCACAUAUAAGUGGACUCACACAGCAUGUAGUCGAGUGUCUGCCUUCUUUCACUUGGCAUUAAGUGGGUUUUGUCCAUAUCAUCGUAUGUAAUUAUAGCUUGUACAUUCUUAUUGCUGUAUAAUAUUUUGUUUGGGGAAUACACGACAGUUCAUCCAUUCUGUGGCUAAUGGGCAUUUGAGUGGAUACAUUUUUCCUUGAACCAUUUUGACUUACGGUUUUCAAAUUUUGCAACCAAAAGAAUCCUAACUAAUAUAAGCCCAUCACCCCCUUUGGACUCUGCUCAGUUGCCUCCUGCCAUCUGGCUCCCAGUGGCUCCUCCCACUUCUCUCUCACCACUCCAUGAGAUGGACUUUGCACCUCUAUUACCUGUGACCACAAAUAGCUUCAGACAUCUCUGGUCCUUAAUUCUAAGUCAGGAUGGGGUGGACAAGGCCUAGACACAGGGCUACCAAGAAGUUCCCUGAUCGUUGCUGUGUGUCAAGAACCUUGCCAGUGAUUGCUAUCAUUUGCAAUGCUUACUUUGUGCCAGACACGCCUCCCUGCCUGUUAUGUGUGUUGAGUCAAUUAAUCCUCACAAAAAUCCUAUGAGGUAUUAGCUCCAUUUUAGAGAUGAAUAAACUGAGGCAUAGAAAGGGGUCCGUCACUCACCCAAGGACAUACAA